This 951-nucleotide ribosomal RNA is filed under the name uncultured bacterium. Its description in RNAcentral is "bacterial SSU rRNA". It matches the Rfam family "Bacterial small subunit ribosomal RNA", at positions 624 to 1533 of the family's 1533-position model. The record is from RNAcentral.
CAUUUGAAACUGGCAAGCUAGAGUCUGUAGAGGGGGGUAGAAUUCCAGGUGUAGCGGUGAAAUGCGUAGAGAUCUGGAGGAAUACCGGUGGCGAAGGCGGCCCCCUGGACAAAGACUGACGCUCAGGUACGAAAGCGUGGGGAGCAAACAGGAUUAGAUACCCUGGUAGUCCACGCUGUAAACGAUGUCGACUUGGAGGUUGUGCCCUUGAGGCGUGGCUUCCGGAGCUAACGCGUUAAGUCGACCGCCUGGGGAGUACGGCCGCAAGGUUAAAACUCAAAUGAAUUGACGGGGGCCCGCACAAGCGGUGGAGCAUGUGGUUUAAUUCGAUGCAACGCGAAGAACCUUACCUACUCUUGACAUCCAGAGAAUUCGCUAGAGAUAGCUUAGUGCCUUCGGGAACUCUGAGACAGGUGCUGCAUGGCUGUCGUCAGCUCGUGUUGUGAAAUGUUGGGUUAAGUCCCGCAACGAGCGCAACCCUUAUCCUUUGUUGCCAGCACGUAAUGGUGGGAACUCAAAGGAGACUGCCGGUGAUAAACCGGAGGAAGGUGGGGAUGACGUCGAGUCAUCAUGGCCCUUACGAGUAGGGCUACACACGUGCUACAAUGGCGUAUACAAAGAGAAGCGAACUCGCGAGAGCAAGCGGACCUCAUAAAGUACGUCGUAGUCCGGAUUGGAGUCUGCAACUCGACUCCAUGAAGUCGGAAUCGCUAGUAAUCGUAGAUCAGAAUGCUACGGUGAAUACGUUCCCGGGCCUUGUACACACCGCCCGUCACACCAUGGGAGUGGGUUGCAAAAGAAGUAGGUAGCUUAACCUUCGGGAGGGCGCUUACCACUUUGUGAUUCAUGACUGGGGUGAAGUCGUAACAAGGUAACCGUAAUCACUAGUGCGGCCGCCUGCAGGUCGACCAUAUGGGAGAGCUCCCAACGCGUUGGAUGCAUAGCUUGAGU